CAACUAAGGUCCUAAGGUCUGUCUGACUCUGAUUAUCCCUGAGGCUCUGGCCAGGUAUCCCAAGACCUAUUGAGGCCUGGACAGAGGGAUGCUGGGAAGAGCUGGGCCCACGCACUGAGAGGCUCUGGGAAGAUGAGCUACAGAGUAAAGGUCACAGGAACCUGGGCAAAGUCCCCUAAAAAGACUGUCAGCAAAGUGGCUGUUGAAAAAGGCAGUAAAGGAGGCUUCUGUACUGAGGAGACAGGACAAAGAAAAGGGAAGAACCAGAACAGUGGUCACUAAGUGACCUCAAGGCUUGGUGGAGCCAGUAGCAGAGGAUGCCCCGGGCCCUAGAGCACGCAGAUGGCAGGUGGUCCUGGAUGGUACUUCUGGCCUCCAUGGUGACCCAGGGCCUCACUGCAAGCUUCCCCAUCUGCACUGGGGUCUUCUUCACUGAUCUGCAACGUGAGUUUCAAGCCACCAACAGCCACACCUCCUGGUUCCCCUCCAUCCUGGGGGCCAUGGUCCAAGCUGGAGGGCCCCUGUGCAGCAUCCUGGUGGGACGCUACGGCUGCCGAGUAACCAUGAUGCUGGGUGGGGUGCUGGCCAGCCUGGGCAUGGUGGCCAGCUCCUUCUCCCGCACAAUUACCCAGCUCUUCCUCACAGCUGGAAUGAUCACAGGCCUAGGCAUGAGCUUCAGCUUCCAGGCCAGCAUCACGGUACUCGGCUUGUACUUCGUCCGCCGGCGGCCACUGGCCAAUGCCCUGGCCUCCAUGGGCAUCUCCCUGGGCAUCACCCUCUGGCCACCAUUUGCCCGCUACCUCCUGGAGAACCUGGGCUGGAGGGGCUCCUUCCUUAUCUUCGGUGGGGUCUUCCUCCAUUGCUGCAUCUGUGGGGCCAUCAUCAGGCCUGUAGCCACCAACACGGUCCCUGAGACCAAAGAAGAUCCCUCUUCCUCUUCCAAGACACCAGCACAAGGCUGCUUGGCAGCGUGUAGCUCAGGCAUCCAGCACCACCUGGCCUUUGACAUCCUGCGACACAAUGUGGGCUACUGUAUCUACACGCUGGGUAUGACAUGGACGUUCAUGGGUUACUCGUUGCCACAUGUCUUCCUGGUGCCAUAUGCCAUGAAGUAUGGAGUGGAGGAGUACCGGGCAGCCCUGCUCAUCUCCAUGCUCGGCUUGUGCAACAUCUUCCUGCGCCCCGUGGCAGCCCUAGUGAUAGGCUGGCCAUGCUUUGCCUGCUACCACAAGUACCUGUUCACCCUGGCAAUCCUACUCAACGGGCUCACCAACCUGGUGUGCACAGUGUCGGCCAACUUCUGGGUGCUGGUGAGCUACUCCGUGCUGUACAGCGUGUCCCUGUGUGGCACUGGCAUCCUAAUCUUCCAGGUCCUCAUGGAAAUUGUCCCCAUGGACCGGUUCCCCAGCGCUCUGGGCCUCUUUUCCAUCAUCAGUGGCAUUGCUCCCCUCAUCUCUCCGCCACUGGCUGGCUUGGUCCUGGACACCACCAGCAACUUCAGCUAUGUUUUCUACAUGUCAAGCUUCUUCCUCACCUCAUCCAGCCUCUUCAUGACUGGAGGCUUCUAUUACCUGCAGAAGAAGGAGCAGCAAGGCAGGCGACCCAAGGUGGAAAGAGCCAUCUCAGAGACUAGCCUGAUGCAGGGGCCUAUGCCAGAAGGCAAGGACAGUCCCAAGGAACAGCCAUGCCUUGAGAUCACGGCCACAAGUGAUCAGCUUGGACCCUUAGGACUGUUACAGAAAUCUCGGGAAGAAAUACACAGAAGAGACACAGAAUUUGGAUAAAAUAAUAAAAUUUCUUCUCGCAAGUGGGCGGGAACGCCAGAAACCAGUCUGCUUCCCUUCUGCCAUGAGAAGACCUCGCUCUCGGUAAAUCAUGCCAAUGAUGUAUAAUGCAGCAAACGCAUAGCGAAAGUCCAUAUAUAUACCUUUUUACCCUUUGCCCAUCAGAGUGCCUGUGUGAGUGUCCAGAGCUUAGCACAUUGCACCAACAGCCCUGGCUAGGACCACCUCAUCCUUCAUGGUUACUGCAUAUCCAUCAUGAUGAAGCCCAUCUUCCACAAAGCUGCUCCUAUCCAUGAACAGAACGAGGUCAGCAUCGGACAAGGGUAUCAUUUGCAAGUCAGGGCAGCUGGAAAAGAGCUCAUCAGUGACACUCAAGCAGUCAUGAUUGGGAGGGCCUGUCUCCGUGAGCAAGAAGG
Heterocephalus glaber (naked mole-rat) is the source of this 2200-nucleotide non-coding RNA. NCBI's taxonomy places the organism in Eukaryota, Metazoa, Chordata, Mammalia, Rodentia, Bathyergidae. The record is from RefSeq and is a predicted model, not a curated record.